Molecule: long non-coding RNA, 376 nt
Filed under: Homo sapiens (human)
Lineage: Eukaryota; Metazoa; Chordata; Mammalia; Primates; Hominidae
Description: non-protein coding lnc-SLC40A1-1:1
Source: RNAcentral
GGUGUCGGCGCUGCAGGAUGACGCGAGCCUCUCGCGUCCCUGGUUUUCUCGGUCGCAGCGUUGAGUUAUUGGGUGGAAAGGCAUCACCUUAGAGUCAACCUUCUUUGAAACCACUGUCUCAGAGAAAUCCCUCCAAGACACAGGUAAUUAGAGAGGGUAUGUGAACCAAGGAGCCAAUCAAAUUCUCCCACAUAAGAAUUUGGGACACAGAAGAUGAAGCUGAGGACCACAAGGAUUUAGAUACUGAUGCUAAAGGAAAAAGGAAGAAGCAGAGGGUCAGCAGAUGUUGAAAGAGGUAUAAUCAAGCUCAUACUCCAUUAAACAGAAAGCAAACUAAGAGCUGGAGAGAUGAAGAGACUUGGUCAACAUCAUACAU